GAGGAUUUGGUGGGCUGUCGCUGCUAACGAUGGUUGGGGUAUUUGUUUGCCCGGUUCUCU
This 60-nucleotide transfer RNA is filed under the name Paragonimus kellicotti. Its description in RNAcentral is "tRNA-Ser". Lineage: Eukaryota; Metazoa; Platyhelminthes; Trematoda; Plagiorchiida; Troglotrematidae. The record is from RNAcentral.